CUUGAAAAUUCUACUUACCUGUGGAAAAUAGGAGUUUUUAAACAAUCCCCCGCUCCCCGUCAAAUACCAUCAGCUUUUGCAGAAUGUAAGCUACAGUAAUUAAAAACAAAACAUCUGCCCUCCCAACAAAUCAAAAACGCAAACAAAACUGCUACCGCAUUCUUUUACCUCCAUUUUUCACCCACCUCCCCCCAAAGCUUUCUAGCCAUUAUGGUUGUGUAGAUAACUUUGCAAACAUAACUAAGUAUACCUUGAUGUACAGUACUAUCUUCCCAUGUCUGCAGACUGAGCUUCAAUGCCUCUGCCAAGCUUCAUUGGGGUGGAAAUGGCUCAGUCUUUCCAGUUUCUUCUGUGGCUGUCCACAACCAGGUGGGCAGUGGUGAAACUGACAAAAAUAAAGCCAGUUUGACUUUGCUGUUGCUGUUUAGAAUAAUGGGGAUGAAUUGGGUGGGGGGAGAACAAGUAGGGAACAAUUUAGAGGAAGAGAGGAUAUGAUAUAAGGAGACAGGAAAAGAAGAAACAGACAGUGCAGGAAAAGAUGCACUAUGAUCUAGUACGGGAAAGAAAAGAGGAAAAGUAGAGUGAAACCUGGUGGGCAAAGGCAAAGGAGAUCGCUAUUAAAAUGGAAUGUUGUUUGAGAGUGUUGUAAUACAAUUGGGCUUUGUUCCUUUAAACUAUAGGGAGUGUGGUUCUAGAUUGGUGACAAGGCAGGUAUUUUCAUUCUGAUUAGUAGCCUUGUGCUAGUAGGUAUCGAGUAAGGUUGUAUUUCCCCUCCCCCC
Long non-coding RNA from Dermochelys coriacea (leatherback sea turtle), 779 nucleotides. RefSeq lists it as uncharacterized. NCBI's taxonomy places the organism in Eukaryota, Metazoa, Chordata, Testudines, Dermochelyidae. The record is from RefSeq and is a predicted model, not a curated record. The transcript is spliced from 2 exons.